UAUGGUGUUUUUAAAAGUAGACUAGGGUAUUCAAUAUGGGGUAUGUCCAGUCUUUUUUAGUAGCCACUUAGUCAGAAACACUGGCCAAAGUUAGCAUUUAUAUUUGUUUGGGUGUUAAAAAUGCAAAAAACAAUUAUGAAUGCUAACUUUGGCCAGUGUUUGUGACUAAGUGGCUACUAAAAAAUACUGAACAUACCCCAUUUGCAAUACCUUGGGUUGUCUUCUUUUGCAAAUGGUAUG
Pelobates cultripes (western spadefoot toad) is the source of this 240-nucleotide non-coding RNA. The record is from the annotation of a GenBank genome assembly. Lineage: Eukaryota; Metazoa; Chordata; Amphibia; Anura; Pelobatidae.